CCUACGGGUGGUUGCAGUGGGGAAUAUUGGACAAUGGGGGCAACCCUGAUCCAGCCAUGCCGCGUGUGUGAAGAAGGCCCUCGGGUUGUAAAGCACUUUCAGUGAGGAAGAACGCCUGGUGGUUAAUACCCAUCAGGAAAGACAUCACUCACAGAAGAAGCACCGGCUAACUCCGUGCCAGCAGCCGCGGUAAUACGGAGGGUGCGAGCGUUAAUCGGAAUUACUGGGCGUAAAGCGCGCGUAGGUGGCUUGAUAAGCCGGUUGUGAAAGCCCCGGGCUCAACCUGGGAACGGCAUCCGGAACUGUCAAGCUAGAGUGCAGGAGAGGAAGGUAGAAUUCCCGGUGUAGCGGUGAAAUGCGUAGAGAUCGGGAGGAAUACCAGUGGCGAAGGCGGCCUUCUGGACUGACACUGACACUGAGGUGCGAAAGCGUGGGUAGCAAACAGGAUUAGAUACCCCAGUAGUC
Molecule: ribosomal RNA, 465 nt
Filed under: Vreelandella stevensii
Lineage: Bacteria; Pseudomonadati; Pseudomonadota; Gammaproteobacteria; Oceanospirillales; Halomonadaceae
Description: partial 16S ribosomal RNA
Rfam family: Bacterial small subunit ribosomal RNA
Source: RNAcentral